RNAcentral lists this ribosomal RNA (253 nucleotides) under uncultured bacterium. RNAcentral describes it as "partial 16S ribosomal RNA". It matches the Rfam family "Bacterial small subunit ribosomal RNA", at positions 524 to 776 of the family's 1533-position model. The record is from RNAcentral.
UACGUAGGUGGCAAGCGUUGUCCGGAUUUACUGGGCGUAAAGAGCGCGCAGGCGGUCGUGCAAGUCGCGUGUGAAAGCCCCCGGCUCAACUGGGGAGGGUCACGCGAUACUGCUCGACUCGAAGGCAGGAGAGGGAAGUGGAAUUCCCGGUGUAGUGGUGAAAUGCGUAGAUAUCAGGAGGAACACCAAUGGCGAAGGCAGCGCGCUGGGCCGGUACUGACGCUGAGGAGCGAAAGCGUGGGGAGCGAACAGG